GUCCACAAACAAACUUUUACUAAAUCAAUUUUCAAAUUGUCCAAACCAUCACUAUUCAUCUCUCUUCACUAGAUUCUACAAUUUUGUUGCAGAAAAAUUCCACAAGAUACAAGCUAGGGUUCAACAAUGUUGAAUUAGAAAGGGGAGAAAAUAAUAACCCAUACACAGAAAUUUGAGUGGUCCUACAUUCACAAGGAAAGACAAUAUGUUCAAUGUCAUUGCCCAGUUGAACAAAUGAAUUCAACCCCAAAUUUUGCAAAGAAGGGCAUAAAGCAUGAUGGAAUUCUAGAUACCACGAAAAGCAUAAUUCAACAUUAGCAAUGCUGCUUCUAGUGUUAGAAGCUUAAGGUUUCUUGGACCUCAUACCUUAUCUGUCAAAUAAUAAGGAUGUUACUCUUCUUAUAAUUUU
Molecule: unclassified non-coding RNA, 409 nt
Filed under: Hevea brasiliensis (rubber tree)
Lineage: Eukaryota; Viridiplantae; Streptophyta; Magnoliopsida; Malpighiales; Euphorbiaceae
Source: RNAcentral